RNAcentral lists this transfer RNA (73 nucleotides) under Fukomys damarensis (Damara mole-rat). It matches the Rfam family "tRNA". Rfam says of the family: Transfer RNA (tRNA) molecules are approximately 80 nucleotides in length. Their secondary structure includes four short double-helical elements and three loops (D, anti-codon, and T loops). Further hydrogen bonds mediate the characteristic L-shaped molecular structure. tRNAs have two regions of fundamental functional importance: the anti-codon, which is responsible for specific mRNA codon recognition, and the 3' end, to which the tRNAs corresponding amino acid is attached (by aminoacyl-tRNA synthetases). tRNAs cope with the degeneracy of the genetic code in two manners: having more than one tRNA (with a specific anti-codon) for a particular amino acid; and 'wobble' base-pairing, i.e. permitting non-standard base-pairing at the 3rd anti-codon position. The record is from Rfam by way of RNAcentral. Lineage: Eukaryota; Metazoa; Chordata; Mammalia; Rodentia; Bathyergidae.
GGGGAUUUAGCUGAGUGGUGCCGCCACCUGCCUUGAAAGCAGAAGGUCCCAAGUUUGAUCCCCGGUAUCCCCC